UAGCAUGUGACCAUGAACCUGGUCUCCAAAGU
This 32-nucleotide non-coding RNA is filed under the name Mus musculus (house mouse). Lineage: Eukaryota; Metazoa; Chordata; Mammalia; Rodentia; Muridae. The record is from RNAcentral.